CCUUUCCCUUUCCCUUUCCCUUUCCCUUUCCCUUUCCCUUUCCCUUUCCCUUUCCCAGUUCUUCAGUUGGAAGAAUGAACAUCAGAGCUGUGAUACUUCAGUGCAACAUAUACUUUUACAGAGACCUUUGAAAAUGAAACAUUACUUAACUCUGUAUCUCUCCUAGCAUUGAUAACUUGAUCUGUACUCUAAGUUGGCAUUAGAAUGCAGUUCAGAGCACAAUGAAAGCUUUCUCAACACAUCAUAAUCCAAAGUCAUCUUCAAGAAUUUCUAGGUGGAGACAUUUUGUUUUUUAUGCCUGCUAUCAAAUGAAGGUCCUCUUCACAACACCAUUAUGAUCUUCUGUCCUCCUGCAUGGUAAAUGGUUGAAGACAGAAGACUUAUUAUUCAUUUUACAUCCAGCCCAUGAGGAUUUGGACUGAUUCCAUGAAGCAGGUUCAGGUCAGCUAAGUCCUUUCCUUCAAAGCAUCAUCAAUGUCUCUAAGCAUCAUUGCAAGCUUGUUCUGG
This 507-nucleotide long non-coding RNA is filed under the name Anas platyrhynchos platyrhynchos (common mallard). RNAcentral's name for it is "lncRNA (ENSAPLG00000024767.1)". Lineage: Eukaryota; Metazoa; Chordata; Aves; Anseriformes; Anatidae. The record is from RNAcentral.